AAUGGCGGUGCGGUGAUUGUGGAGUUGUCAGGGGCGGGAGAGGGUUUUGAGGUCAUCGAGUCCAACCGUCAGCGCGGCAUUGCCGCUGUGACUCUAACCUCGACACCUCUAAACUCCUAAAACACUAAGCUACAUCACCCAGCGCCAAAUCCAGGCGCCUCUUAAACACCUCUGGGGUUGGUGAUUCCACCAUCUCCUUCGGCAAUUCAUUCCAAUGUUUGACCAGCAGACCAGUGAAAAAGACUUUUUUGUCUACUAUCUAACCUCGAUCUGCCCUGUCUCAGCUUGAGGCCGUGUUUGAGGUUCUCUCACUGCAGUGUAGAAGAGGCUGGACUCCAGUUAGCUGGGGAGAGCCGUGAAGUUCCCCUGAGCCUCGUCCGGGCUAAACUACCCCGGGUCCCUCAGCCGCUCCUCAUAAACGUGUGGGAAAAAGGAAAGUCCCUUUUAUUAGGCCUUAUGUAUUGAAUCUUAACUACAAAACACAACUGCAUUUUUUUCCUUUUUGCUACUAAACCACGACUGAUUCAGGGUGAUGACGUACAGGUUUUUUCCCCCCCUUUCAUAAUUAGAUGAGUGUGUGAUCAUUUUCAGUGCUGAGCCUGGCUAAAUGUGUACUGUGGGGCUGCAGUGAGUGGCUUGAAAAGUCUUGAAAAGGUCUCCAAGAAUGCGGACUUCCUGACCUGUGCAGUAGGUGCCUCUGCCCAGGGAAAGGCUCCCUCAGGAAAACUGCCAGAGCUGCUGGUUGUCCUUGAGCUCCCAAACACCCUCUACUUAGGUUGGUCUUCCUCAGCUAUAACCUGUAUAUAUAUUAUUAUAUACACAGUUAUUUUAUCUAUAUAUAUAUAUGCACACAUAUAUAUUAUUAUAUACAUAGUUAUUUUAUAUAUAUAUAUAUAUAUAUAAAUAUGUCUAUGUGUAUGUAUGUAUUUUUAUAAGCUGUACUGCUAUAGCCCUUGCUGCUUUUGCUUCCUCUUGUGACUUCUGCAUUCUGCAAAAGUGGGGAAAAAAAAAAAAAUCCAUGCAGGGAGAAAGCUCUAUGCAAGGAUGUAUUUGGAAGCGUGCCUUUGAAAGGUGGCUGCUCUCCCUAUGUUCUGGCUGUUAUUUUCCUCAGGUUUUUAAUAUUGUAUUGCAAGAGGCUAUCUAGGCUUGAAGCUGCUUAGUAAAGAAUCACAGAUUAUGUAGUGUUGGAAGGGACCUCUGGAGUUCAUCUAGUCUAACCCCCAUGUUUAACAGAUUUUUAGAGUAUGGUGUUUCAGUACUGUUAGUAGUUAAUUAUACAAAACUAAAGGAAUUGUGCAGUGAUGAGAUAAUCCUUAAAAGUGUACUCCUGUAUCUUUGUUGUUUCAUGCCAGCCUUUUACCCUGCAUAGUCUACAAAAUAAAAUUACUGAGCUGAAUGCA
RNAcentral lists this long non-coding RNA (1400 nucleotides) under Parus major (Great Tit). Its description in RNAcentral is "lncRNA (ENSPMJG00000001673.1)". The record is from RNAcentral. Lineage: Eukaryota; Metazoa; Chordata; Aves; Passeriformes; Paridae.